CCUACGGGGGGCUGCAGUGGGGAAUAUUGGACAAUGGGGGGAACCCUGAUCCAGCCAUGCCGCGUGUGUGAAGAAGGCCCUCGGGUUGUAAAGCACUUUCAGUGAGGAAGAACGCCUGGUGGUUAAUACCCAUCAGGAAAGACAUCACUCACAGAAGAAGCACCGGCUAACUCCGUGCCAGCAGCCGCGGGAAUACGGAGGGUGCGAGCGUUAAUCGGAAUUACUGGGCGUAAAGCGCGCGUAGGUGGCUUGAUAAGCCGGUUGGGAAAGCCCCGGGCUCAACCUGGGAACGGCAUCCGGAACUGUCAAGCUAGAGUGCAGGAGAGGAAGGUAGAAUUCCCGGUGUAGCGGUGAAAUGCGUAGAGAUCGGGAGGAAUACCAGUGGCGAAGGCGGCCUUCUGGACUGACACUGACACUGAGGUGCGAAAGCGUGGGUAGCAAACAGGAUUAGAUACCCUAGUAGUC
Molecule: ribosomal RNA, 465 nt
Filed under: Vreelandella stevensii
Lineage: Bacteria; Pseudomonadati; Pseudomonadota; Gammaproteobacteria; Oceanospirillales; Halomonadaceae
Description: partial 16S ribosomal RNA
Rfam family: Bacterial small subunit ribosomal RNA
Source: RNAcentral